AUGGAGGAUACUUGGGCUUGGAAUUAUGAGCAAAAUGGCAGAUUUAUUGUUUGGUCGGCGUACCGGAUGUUAGCAGAUACAAAGAGAAGGAGUGAGGACUGGUUGGAAAACAACCCAGGGCGAUCAAAUUACGAAGAAGAGGCGAAGGCUUGGACUUCGCUGUGGUCUGUUCAAGCUCUUGGUAAAAUCCGAAGUUUUCUUUUGGAGAUUAGCCAAAUGUUCUAUCCCAAUAGAGGACGUACGCCAAACCGAACAUGGCAGACGAUGAAAAGUGUCAACUUUGCGGUGCACAUGAUUCAUGGUGCCACUCCCUUUUGUAGUGGUCAAUGUCAAGGUGUGUAUGGGCUCUAG
RNAcentral lists this ribosomal RNA (351 nucleotides) under Triticum aestivum (bread wheat). RNAcentral's name for it is "partial small subunit ribosomal RNA". The record is from RNAcentral. Lineage: Eukaryota; Viridiplantae; Streptophyta; Magnoliopsida; Poales; Poaceae.